CAACCCUCAAGCACUGCUUGGUAUUGGGUGCCACCACUGUGGUGCAUCUUAAAAGUAUUGGCGGUAGCACUUGGCUUCUAGCAUAGUAAUUUCCUUGCUUUGGAGUCUGGAUGUCUAGCUGUUAGAACCCCUAAAUCAUUAA
Molecule: unclassified non-coding RNA, 142 nt
Filed under: uncultured Ascomycota
Lineage: Eukaryota; Fungi; Ascomycota
Description: sequence contains ITS2
Source: RNAcentral